AACGAGGCCGACCUGCGGCUGAGUUACCUGCGGAAGGAUCAUUACAAGAGUUGCAAAACUCCCAAACCCACUGUGAAUCUACCUGUCUUGUUGCUUCGGCGGGCAGCCCCAGGGCGGGGCCACGCCCGGGAAUGUCCCCGGGUGUCCGCCGGAGGUGAUCAAAACUCGUUAUUUUGGUGUCUUCUGAGUUUUUUGCACAAGCAAAAUCAGUCAAAACUUUCAGCAACGGAUCUCAGAUCG
RNAcentral lists this unclassified non-coding RNA (240 nucleotides) under soil metagenome. RNAcentral describes it as "partial contains 5.8S ribosomal RNA, internal transcribed spacer 2, and large subunit ribosomal RNA". The record is from RNAcentral.